CCUACGGGAGGCAGCAGUGAGGAAUAUUGGUCAAUGGGCGAGAGCCUGAACCAGCCAAGUCGCGUGAGGGAGUACUGCCCUAUGGGUUGUAAACCUCUUUUGUCGGGGAGCAAAAGCCGGACGUGUCCGGCUGUGAGAGUACCCGAAGAAAAAGCAUCGGCUAACUCCGUGCCAGCAGCCGCGGUAAUACGGAGGAUGCGAGCGUUAUCCGGAUUUAUUGGGUUUAAAGGGUGCGCAGGCGGAUUUUUAAGUCAGCGGUAAAAUCGUGGGGCUCAACCCCAUCAAGCCGUUGAAACUGGGGAUCUAGAGUGUGCGAGAGGUAUGCGGAAUGCGUGGUGUAGCGGUGAAAUGCAUAGAUAUCACGCAGAACCCCGAUUGCGAAGGCAGCAUACCGGUGCACAACUGACGCUCAGGCACGAAAGCGUGGGUAUCGAACAGGAUUAGAUACCCCGGUAGUC
This 458-nucleotide ribosomal RNA is filed under the name uncultured bacterium. Its description in RNAcentral is "partial 16S ribosomal RNA". It matches the Rfam family "Bacterial small subunit ribosomal RNA", at positions 338 to 795 of the family's 1533-position model. The record is from RNAcentral.